UUCAACUGUCACGUUUGCUCCGCUUUUCUGGUUGCAAAUAAAAUUUGACUUUUAAUUAAAUGGCAGAACUUACAAUAAUUUUAAUAAGCCGUAUAAAUAAAUUUGAAUAAAUUUCACACAAAGUGAGGCAAAAUUCCCUAAACUCAUCCGGACAUUCCAUCUUGCCGUUGUUGCCAGAUGAACCGCAAAGAAGGCCCGGAAACCUCAGACCAAUUCACUCAUUCCCCAUUUGCCCAACUUGAGCUCAUUAUGGCGGCUUCAGCCCCCUUGGAACCCAAUAUUUGCAUUCAUUUUGUGCGUGUGCUAAUUUGCAUGUGCGAGUGUGUUAAAACAUAAAUUAGUUGACUCUGCCGACACACCCACACAAUCGAAUAAAAUAAAGUGAAAGGGGUUAGAGAAAGUUUCGCCUCACUCCCGACUUUUCGAA
This is a long non-coding RNA of Drosophila yakuba, 427 nucleotides long. RefSeq lists it as uncharacterized. The transcript has 2 exons. The record is from RefSeq and is a predicted model, not a curated record. NCBI's taxonomy places the organism in Eukaryota, Metazoa, Arthropoda, Insecta, Diptera, Drosophilidae.